GUCCACGCCGUAAACGAUGGAUACUAGCUGUUUGGUUGUAAGACUGAGUGGCUAAGCGAAAGUGAUAAGUAUCCCACCUGGGGAGUACGGGCGCAAGCCUGAAACUCAAAGGAAUUGACGGGGGCCCGCACAAGCGGUGGAGCAUGUGGUUUAAUUCGAUGAUACGCGAGGAACCUUACCAGGGCUUAAAUGUAGGUUGACAGGCUUGGAAACAGGUUUUUCUUCGGACAACUUACAAGGUGCUGCAUGGUUGUCGU
RNAcentral lists this ribosomal RNA (257 nucleotides) under uncultured bacterium. Its description in RNAcentral is "partial 16S ribosomal RNA". It matches the Rfam family "Bacterial small subunit ribosomal RNA", at positions 793 to 1055 of the family's 1533-position model. The record is from RNAcentral.